CCUACGGGAGGCUGCAGUGGGGAAUAUUGGGCAAUGGAGGCAACUCUGACCCAGCAACGUCGCGUGAAUGAUGAAGGUCUUCGGAUUGGAAAGUUCUUUUCUAAGGGAAGAAGAAAGUGACGGUACCUCAGUAAUAAACCUCGGCGAACUACGGGCCAGCAGCCGCGGUAAUACGUAGGAGGCAAGCUUUAUCCGGAAUGACUGGGCGUAAAGGGUGCGUAGGUGGUUUGACAAGUUAGUAGCGCAACUCCGGGGCUCAACUUCGGCACUACUACUAAAACUGUUGGACUUGAGUGCAGGAGGAGCAAGCGGAAUUCGUAGUGUAGCGGUGGAAUGCGUAGAUAUUAGGAGGAACACCGGUGGCGAAGGCGGAUUGCUAGACUGUAACUGACACUGAGGCACGAAAGCGUGGGGAGCAAACAGGAUUAGAUACCCGAGUAGUC
Molecule: ribosomal RNA, 443 nt
Filed under: uncultured bacterium
Lineage: Bacteria
Description: partial 16S ribosomal RNA
Rfam family: Bacterial small subunit ribosomal RNA
Source: RNAcentral